This 119-nucleotide ribosomal RNA is filed under the name Pteropus alecto (black flying fox). The record is from RNAcentral. Lineage: Eukaryota; Metazoa; Chordata; Mammalia; Chiroptera; Pteropodidae.
AACUAUGGCCAUGCCACCCUGAACAAGCCCAAUCUCGUCUGAUCUCGGAAGCUAAGCAGGGUUGGACCUGGUUAGUACUUGGAUGGGAGACCAUCUAGGAAGACCAGGUGCUGUAGGCA